RNAcentral lists this long non-coding RNA (206 nucleotides) under Homo sapiens (human). RNAcentral describes it as "HSALNT0029203". Lineage: Eukaryota; Metazoa; Chordata; Mammalia; Primates; Hominidae. The record is from RNAcentral.
CAUACCUUUAAUCCCAGCACUUUGGGAGGCCAAGGUGGGCGGAUCACCUGAGGUCAGGAGUUUGAGACCAGCCUGGCCAACAUGGUUAAAACCUCGUCUCUACUAAAAAUACAAAAGUUAGCCGGGUCUGGUGGCGUGCACCUGUAAUCCCAGCUACUCAGGAGGCUGAGGCAGGAGAAUCGCUUAAACCCGAGAGGCAGAGGUUG